Long non-coding RNA from Doryrhamphus excisus (bluestripe pipefish), 2773 nucleotides. RefSeq lists it as uncharacterized. The record is from RefSeq and is a predicted model, not a curated record. NCBI's taxonomy places the organism in Eukaryota, Metazoa, Chordata, Actinopteri, Syngnathiformes, Syngnathidae.
GUCGUCUUGGCGCGGCAGGAAGCAACUGCCUUUAGCUUCCGGGGUCAUGCUGUCAUUCAUCCUCUGGCUGGCGUGCUGAGUGGGCUGUUAACCUGCAUCGAUCAAAGCUACUACACCAAUUCCACGCCUGGCGGUGCUGGCGUCGUCCACUCGGCGGUCGGAUGUUCUCCCACUGAACCCUUUUGUGAUGUUCCACACCUGAUGGCGAGCCACCCACAUGCUGCUUGCCGCCUGCCUUGCUGCGUGGACGAUGGCCUGCGUCAGCAGAGGAAUUGAACCCCGCACAGCGCCCUCUACUGCUGAUGUACCAGAAAUACCUGCGGCGCCAACGGCUCCGCACCACAACCUGGUUCCUGCCCGUUCAGGUCUUGGCCAGCAGGGGGCGCACACAGUCACUGGCUGGCAUUUAAGUCAUUGUUAAGGGUCAAAGAAAAGGAGAUGGGGGUGGCGGCGGCACUUGGUCCCGUGCGUCGGCUCGUUCCCCUCAGAGUGAGUCCGCUCCGUCGUACGGCUUUUGGACGCACUCUUCAUUAAAACGCAAUGGCCUUGGCAACAGAACAUGUAAACAAAGGAAUUGGACCAGUCGGCAUAAACGCCACUCCUCACGGGCGAGGCGGAAGUGGGAACAGGUCAGAGGUCACGCUGGUUGAGGGUUAGCCCAGGUUGGAGAAGAUUAGAUCCAUUGGUCAUGUCUACUUCCCAAGGCAAGAAUGACAUUUCAUUUCAUCGUGGCUUUUUAUACAUUCUUCUUGUGUGUGCAUGUGUGUGUGUGUGCGGGUGUGUGUGCGUGCGUGUCAUCCAUCUCCUUAGGAAACGCUUGCACGUCCCUGGCUCAAGAACGAAGAACGUGCACCAAUUGUCCAAUGAGGGAAGCCGGAGCCCCUGAGCUCGCCCAAUCGCAGAAAUGAGGUGGGGGGGGGGGGGGGGUGUCACAGUCUAGUUCCACUUGAUCCUCCACAGAUGGAGGGAAUGCAGUUUCCGUGGUGAUGAGAAAGGGGAGGAGUCUAAACCUCCGCCCCUUUCAGGCCGAUUCGUUCCUCCUCCUGUCAGUCACUGCUGGGCUUCUCCAGCGAGAAGGCGGAGAUGCCAAAGUGGCCGCUGAGCUGCUGGACCUGCAGAUGGAGAAGGUAGGACGCACGGUCACGGACCACCACAACGUAGCUCUGCAGACAUUUGACUUUGGCAGCAGCCAGAAAGCUCACCACUGACACGCCAUAGUGUACGUGCGCUACGACGACGGCCGCUGUCCACAGGUGCAACAGCAGCUCCUCGUCCGAUGCCAAGCCGGACACGGCCAGCGCCACCACGGCGGCCAUGGGCAGCAGCAGCGGCCAGCUGAGCGCUUGGCAACGCGUGUUGCUCAUCUGACACACAAUCAGCUUGCACUGACACACACACACACACACACACACUUAGAUGCACAUCUUCCUCGUCUGUUGGACUUGGAGGACACACUCACCGUGACAUUGGCGAAGGCCGUCCCCACCAUGAGGUAGAAGACCCUGGGCUGCAGCUCCAGGAUGUUGGAUGGAGAUAACAUCACCCACGUGGUGGACAGGAGGAAGAGGAGUGUGGGGGAGAGGAAGGGCAGCAGGGCUUCGUACGCGCUGCUGUGCUUCAGGGAGUUGCUGCGCUGAGCCCUGGACACACACACGUCACUGCUGCUACAUGCUAACAUUAGCAGAAUAGCAUUAGUACUGCUACAGCUACAUGCUAACAUAGCAAGAAGACAUUAUUGGGGCUACAUGCCAACAUAGGCAGAUGACAUAGUGCUACAGCUACGUGCUAACUUAAAGAAGAUGACAUUAGUACUACAGUUACCUGCUUACAUGAAGUGAAGACAUUAUUGGGUGCUACAUGCUAACAGGAGCUAAAUGACAUUAUUGGUGCUACGGUUACAUGCUAACAUGACUUAAACUGCAUAAGCAUGGUGCCAACAGGUGAGAACGGUACCUGAGGACGUUGUAGAGGCUCAUGGGUAAGGUCACAGUGAAGGAACAUGCUGGAAAAGAGGAGAUGAAAAGUGCUAACGUGCUACAUGUGAUGUAUUUUGCAAUCAAAACUCACCAAUGAUCAUGAAGGUGAAAAGAUCUCUGUACAGGAAGUGGAACAGGACUGGCUGGUACCAUGUUUCUACGCCCACCACGGAGGUUACCACGUAGACCAGGGAGAUGGUCUGGAAGGAGAUGGAAGUGUUGUGUGACAGGAUGAAGGAGAACAGCACCACCCACAGGAUGUAGUAGAGCGUGGCCACGCCCACACCGCUCUCUCCACGCCCAAAUAUGGAGUAAACCGUGGCCACAAAAAAGAUACAUGCCCAGCUGUCCAGUCCGUGGUCAAACAGCUCCCCCAGUGGUGUGGAGGAGUUGGUGCGCCGUGCUUGUUUGCCAUCCACGCCGUCUGUGUGACACAAAGAGUCUGGGUCACGUAGGGGCCGCCCCGUGCCAGAGCACGUGAGAACAUGUGAUGCUCCUCACCCAGCGUAUAGGCCAAGAAGUUGAAGAUCCCCGCGGUGACCCACACCCAGCUGGGCACGUGCGAUUGGCCAGCGGCUGCAACACCAAGGCUGAGAUAUGAACGGCAUCUGGCCACAUUACUCCCCCCCCCGCCUUGGAGCGGCACCAACAUGGCCGACCACAGCCGGAAGAUCAAUAUUGGCUCAGCUGCAUGUUAAGCACCUUCUGCCUUUACGACACAGGAUGCCUGACCUUGACAUCAUGCACACUUCACUCCUUUUGGGUCAACAUUUGCAAUAAAGUGACUGUCGUAGAGA